AUGCAUUCGACGAACCCAAAUCUCCUCCACCACCAUCUCCCUCACCUCCAUACUACUACUAUUCACCACCUUACAAAUACUCCUCACCACCUCCACCACCUUACAAGUACUCAUCGCCUCCUCCACCACCUUACAAAUACUCAUCGCCUCCUCCACCACCUUAUAAGUACUCAUCGCCUCCGCCACCAUACAAAUACUACUCGCCACCUCCACCGCCCUACUAUGACCAUCCGUAUUAUUAUGAUCACUCUCCAUCUCCACCGCCUUAUAAAUACUCCUCACCUCCACCGCCAUAUAAGUACUACUCACCUCCACCACCUUACAAGUACUCAUCGCCUCCUCCGCCAGCAUACAAAUACUCAUGGUAUUCUCCGCCGCCAUACAAAUACUACUCGCCUCCUCCACCUCCCUACUAUUACAAGUCUCCACCUCCACCACCCUACUAUGACCAUCCUUAUUAUUAUGAUCACUCUCCAUCUCCACCGCCUUACAAAUACUCCUCACCUCCUCCACCUUACAAGUACGCCUCCCCUCCACCACCAUACAAAUACUCCUCGCCUCCUCCACCUCCCUACUAUUAACACUUCCGCAUACCCCUCUCCACCACCUUAUAAGUACUCCUCACCUACUCUACCACCAUGCAAAUACUACUCACCUCCUCCACUUUCUUACUAUUAUCACCAUCCACCUCCUCCGCCUUGCAAGGACUCAUCAC
This 715-nucleotide long non-coding RNA is filed under the name Elaeis guineensis (African oil palm). RNAcentral describes it as "long non-coding RNA (EGUI_LNC025832)". The record is from RNAcentral. Lineage: Eukaryota; Viridiplantae; Streptophyta; Magnoliopsida; Arecales; Arecaceae.